Synchiropus splendidus (mandarinfish) is the source of this 3890-nucleotide long non-coding RNA. RefSeq lists it as uncharacterized. The record is from RefSeq and is a predicted model, not a curated record. Lineage: Eukaryota; Metazoa; Chordata; Actinopteri; Syngnathiformes; Callionymidae. The transcript has 3 exons.
GUCAAGCAGAAAGGCACACGAUAAUUCAGUUAGGUGAAGGGUUUAACAAUGUUACUGCUUUUUGGCCUGAGGAAGACUAUAGUGUGGUUAUCUAACUCACAUCGCCAUGUUACUGCCUCAUCUUCCUGUCGGUUUGUGUUGUGAUCCCUGCGUCACCAAGAUGCUACUGGUCAUCUCAGCCAAUAUUAAUACGCACCGUGCAACAUGGUCAGCGAGAGGCGGUCCAAGGUCAAACUUAUGCUGAUGAUUUACAGUAAUACCCAACAACAGGUGAACUGAAUGCAUGUGUUGGCUCUUUUUUUUUUUUUUUUUUUUUUAUCAAGCAGCUCUUCAGACAAUACCCUUUGGCACAAAUAGCAAUUAUUUGAUCAUAAAUGUAUAACUUAUUGAUUUAUUUGUAAUUGGAAUUAGAUCUUAUGAAAAUAAUUCAUUUAAUUUCAUUUCAAUUUUAUGUGCAAUUUAUUAUUUUGUGUUAUUCAUCUUGAAAAAAAAAAAUAUAUAUAUACAAAUAUAUAUAUAUCUUAAAAAAGAAGAAAAUAAGUGUUAAUUACCGUUAAUUGUGGAAUUCUGCUUUUCAAUAUUAAAUAUGCCUCUGGUAAAGAGUUUCAGGGAGAAAGAUUUUUUUUUAUACAGUUUCAUUUUAUGAAAUGAAAUUUUCUUUUGUGCGCCAUUGUCACUCAAUUUCAAUUAAAAAAAUAAUAAUAACCACAAUAUUAUAUUUAUAUAUGCAGUAUUAUAUAUUAUAUAUAUUAUAUUUAUAUAUACUAUAUUCAAAACACAUAUUUCACCUCAAUCUACUAAGUUUACUUUAACAACUCUUAAUAGUUAACCAGUCAAUAAUUAAUGUGAGACACAUCAAACAAUUCCCAAUAAUAUUGUAAACAUUAUUUUAAACACUGUACUUUCCAGUAAAUUGACACUUAAUAACCAUCAAGCAAUAACAAUGAUUAUAACAAAUGAAACUAUUUCCAGACAAGUAGAACAAGAUCUUUGUCGCUGAGUUUCCUUGGAUCUUGUUGAAAGAUGAAAAGGAGAUUUUAAUGCGGAAUAUUUCACAUUUCUCCCUGUGGCAAUUCAGCAUCACAUUGGAACAAGAGGUCUCUUUAAUAGCUCUCCUUACAAUGCAGACGUUUAUGUAAGAUUCACUGUCUCUUCGCCUUUCCUGUAAAUUCUUGUCUUUACUGGCAUCUUCCCGUAAAUACUUUCCUCAACCUCAGAGCAUUGCUAACUCCAGCUCUUUAAAGAGCACAUUUAAACUACACAUCCCCACAUUUAUUUAUUUCCUCUCUCACACAGACUAUGCUCAAUGUAGUCCCUUAUUUGCUUCUUAACUUUGGACAACUGUUAUUAUGCAACUUCAUUAUUCAUAACUUGUUGAGUUCUGUCUGUAAUCUGUUUAACUUUCAACCCUUUUUUGGCAAAACACUUGAGCUUUAAUUCUGUAGAUGCUGGUGGAGUCAGGACUGCAGACCUAUCCUGUCUUCAGUUUUCAGAACUUGUGUUUUGAUGUAUUUUGUUAUUUUGUUUUUGUUUAAAUUUCAUAUAUCUCUUCUGAAAUAAUCGUAAUACAGAAGUGCCAACAGUGAAGCGUCUCUAUGUUUUUAAACUAACUAAUCGGGUCAGAAUAAAAACACAAGACAUGAAGUGCACGGAGAAAAUCGGUCGCUUUGCUUGGAGCUUGGAGUCAAACUCAUCAGACGUCCAAAAACAAGGCCUCCAGUUAUCUGCUGAUGAAAAAAUGCUCGUGGCUCUGAAAUCGUGUUUUUUUGUCCGAUAAAUCUCUGGCACCGUCGCGGUACUGAAACAGACUCCUCUUUUAUUCUGUUCAUCAAACAUGUUUCUGUGGCUCUCUCAGGCCACGACGUCCGAUUCCGAAACAUCAACCCGAUAUUCAAAAAAGUAGCUAUAAGUACAUAAAAUAGCAAAACAGACCAUACCUAAAAGGCCUGGUGAAACAACUUGCUGACUCAUUUUUUUGUGUCAAAGCUUCAGGAGUGAUGGUAAAUAUAUACAUUGGCUGAACGUGUUUCACGAGUGUGAAAGUUUCCAUCCCGCCCAGGUUUCGAGGAGAGGAAUGUGAUCUGUUUAUUCACCCUCAUCUCCUGUGGCAGACUCUGAACUGUGUGUGAACUGUGUGACCUAGAUGUGGAUCAUGAACCUCCACACUCAGGUCACAUAUGGAACCAAGGCUGAACAGAAAUAGCAUUUUGCAGUUACGCCGCUAAAUACAGUAUAUGUGUUGCUGUGCUUUGGUUUUAGCUUCAUGUUUUGUGGUGAGAGGGGCCGAAACCGCAGAGAGGUUCAGAAGUAAUGACCCGGGCAUCAGCUUUAAAAGAGAGAGCGCAACAGAUUUGGCUGGGGAAGCUUGAUCGUAAUGAAUUACCGGGCGAGGAGACGUCCUCUUUUUCCCGGGCAUGUCCUCCUUUUAAGAGCUAAAAAAAAGUGCCCAAGAUUUUGGCCUCUUUUGUCUUCGAUCAUAUUUGCAUUUUUCUGAAAAGAUGCUUUUAAUUCCACCAUCUUAGAAGUGCAGUGUGAUAGGUUGCUGUCCAUCUCCUUUCAAGCAUGUCAUUGGUCAACGGCUCUCAUAAAAAAAAUAAAUAAAUAAAAAAUAAAUGAUCAUAAAUAUGUCAUAGUUCUUUUUCCAAGAGUGAACCAGUUAAACCCAAACCAACCAGCUAUAACCAAGAUGUAGUCAGAACUGUCAGUGCUGUUUUUUAGCGUCAUCUUUCUUUAGAAACAUCAAUCUGGAUCUGACUUGGGCAAAGUGCGGCCUGGGGGCCAUAUGCGGCCCUUUGCCAGUAUUUUUGCGAUCAAUUUUAGCCAGUAAAUACAACACAUUCCCGACUAAAUUAUUGUUUCUUCUUUUGAUUUUAUCAUUUUAGUAUUUUCCUCAAAAUUCGAUGAAAGAAAAUUGAAAAUAUAUCUUGAAAUAAAUUUCCUUUUCAUCUUCGAUGUUUGGUCCAUAGUUUUAUUAUGAUUUCUGUUCAAAUAAAAUGCGUAUAAAAUGAUUUUUCAUUGGCUUCAUACCAUAUUUACACUUAUUAAUAUCCUUGCUUGCAUUACAUAUUUAAUGGUCCAUUUCAUCCUUGUUACUUAAGAUUUAUUUCCGUCACAUUUUGCCGCCUUUCUUUUGGCAUGAUGGCCCCUCACAACAGUCACAGUUUAUAAUAGGAAAUUUAACUGCCCAAUUCUGAUCUAGAUGCAUCUUUUCUAUUUAGAAUUUUAUGUUACUAUCAGUAUUCCACUCUCAUACUUGUUAAAGCGGCUUGUUAAAGUGGUUCAAGAAAUGUUUUUUUAUCUGACAAAUACUUUUCUACCAUUGGUGUAAAAAGGACACACACGAGUAUAGUAUUUAUCAACUCGAUCAUUUGUGACUUCACUGCUGCUGCUCAGUAAUGUUGUAACACAUUUUCGGUGUACGACAUCGAAGUCGGUACUUGAGGUGUGAUUAUGUUUCUGUUUACCGCGCUGCAAACCGAUACUGGCAGCGAACCCUCGCCAUCACUGGAAAUCUGUCAGCCGCAGGGAUCAGAUGUUGGGAGGCAGAGACAGUGUCAGGGCCAGUACCUAAAUAACUGGGGUGAUUUGUCACCUGCGCUGCGCUGCCACUCUUCACACCUCUGCAAACGCUGCGGCGUGAAUUUGUUAUGUGCUCCAUGCUCGGGUUACACUGGAGAUGAGGAGGUGGGAGGGUGUCCGCUGACCCCGGAGUUAAAGAUACUUCUUGCGUGGAGGUGACAUCAAUCAAUCUGUCACUUUGAAAAAUUAUCGUUGAACACGUAAUUCCAUUAACUGUUAAAUUCCUUUGCACAAAGAAAGAGAAUGUUAAAGGUAACGUAACUAUAGUGAUGCAGAACUGCCAUCCAAGGCUUGUCCAUAUCAACACUGAG